This 497-nucleotide ribosomal RNA is filed under the name uncultured bacterium. RNAcentral's name for it is "partial 16S ribosomal RNA". It matches the Rfam family "Bacterial small subunit ribosomal RNA", at positions 28 to 507 of the family's 1533-position model. The record is from RNAcentral.
GAUGAACGCUGGCGGCGUGCCUAAUACAUGCAAGUCGAGCGAACGGACGAUAAGCUUGCGUCUCUGAUGUUAGCGGCGGACGGGUGAGUAACACGUGGAUAACCUACCUAUAUGUCUGGGAUAACUUCGGGAAACCGGAGCUAAUACCGGAUAAUAUUUUGAACCGCAUGGUUCAAAAGUGAAAGACGGUCUUGCUGUCACUUAUAGAUGGAUCCGCGCUGCAUUAGCUAGUUGGUAAGGUAACGGCUUACCAAGGCAACGAUGCAUAGCCGACCUGAGAGGGUGAUCGGCCACACUGGAACUGAGACACGGUCCAGACUCCUACGGGAGGCAGCAGUAGGGAAUGUUCGGCAAUGGGCGAAAGCCUGACGGAGCAACGCCGCGUGAGUGAUGAAGGUCUUCGGAUCGUAAAACUCUGUUAUUAGGUAAGAACAGAUGUGGAAUUAGACGAGGACAUCGUGACGGUACCUAAUCAGAAAGCCCCGGCUAACUACGUG